GGAAUCUGGGAGGACCAUCUCCUAAGGCUAAAUACUCUCUAGUGACCGAUAGUGAACCAGUACCGUGAGGGAAAGGUGAAAAGCACCCCGGAAGGGGAGUGAAAUAGAACCUGAAACCGUGUGCUUACAAGUAGUCAGAGCCCGUUAAUGGGUGAUGGCGUGCCUUUUGUAGAAUGAACCGGCGAGUUACGAUUUGAUGCAAGGUUAAGCAGUAAAUGUGGAGCCGUAGCGAAAGCGAGUCUGAAUAGGGCGUUUAGUAUUUGGUCGUAGACCCGAAACCAGGUGAUCUACCCUUGGUCAGGUUGAAGUUCAGGUAACACUGAAUGGAGGACCGAACCGACUUACGUUGAAAAGUGAGCGGAUGAACUGAGGGUAGCGGAGAAAUUCCAAUCGAACCUGGAGAUAGCUGGUUCUCUCCGAAAUAGCUUUAGGGCUAGCCUCAAGUGAUGAUUAUUGGAGGUAGAGCACUGUUUGGACGAGGGGCCCCUCUCGGGUUACCGAAUUCAGACAAACUCCGAAUGCCAAUUAAUUUAACUUGGGAGUCAGAACAUGGGUGAUAAGGUCCGUGUUCGAAAGGGAAACAGCCCAGACCACCAGCUAAGGUCCCAAAAUAUAUGUUAAGUGGAAAAGGAUGUGGCGUUGCCCAGACAACUAGGAUGUUGGCUUAGAAGCAGCCAUCAUUUAAAGAGUGCGUAAUAGCUCACUAGUCGAGUGACACUGCGCCGAAAAUGUACCGGGGCUAAACAUAUUACCGAAGCUGUGGAUUGUCCUUUGGACAAUGGUAGGAGAGCGUUCUAAGGGCGUUGAAGCAUGAUCGUAAGGACAUGUGGAGCGCUUAGAAGUGAGAAUGCCGGUGUGAGUAGCGAAAGACGGGUGAGAAUCCCGUCCACCGAUUGACUAAGGUUUCCAGAGGAAGGCUCGUCCGCUCUGGGUUAGUCGGGUCCUAAGCUGAGGCCGACAGGCGUAGGCGAUGGAUAACAGGUUGAUAUUCCUGUACCACCUAUAAUCGUUUUAAUCGAUGGGGGGACGCAGUAGGAUAGGCGAAGCGUGCGAUUGGAUUGCACGUCUAAGCAGUAAGGCUGAGUAUUAGGCAAAUCCGGUACUC
RNAcentral lists this ribosomal RNA (1105 nucleotides) under Staphylococcus aureus. RNAcentral's name for it is "partial 23S ribosomal RNA". It matches the Rfam family "Bacterial large subunit ribosomal RNA", at positions 439 to 1550 of the family's 2925-position model. The record is from RNAcentral. Lineage: Bacteria; Bacillati; Bacillota; Bacilli; Caryophanales; Staphylococcaceae.